RNAcentral lists this ribosomal RNA (460 nucleotides) under uncultured bacterium. RNAcentral's name for it is "partial 16S ribosomal RNA". It matches the Rfam family "Bacterial small subunit ribosomal RNA", at positions 338 to 795 of the family's 1533-position model. The record is from RNAcentral.
CCUACGGGCGGCAGCAGUGAGGAAUAUUGGUCAAUGGGCGUAAGCCUGAACCAGCCAAGUCGCGUGAGGGAUGAAGGUUCUAUGGAUCGUAAACCUCUUUUAUAAGGGAAUAAAGUGUGGGACGUGUCCUGUUUUGUAUGUACCUUAUGAAUAAGCAUCGGCUAACUCCGUGCCAGCAGCCGCGGUAAUACGGAGGAUCCGAGCGUUAUCCGGAUUUAUUGGGUUUAAAGGGUGCGUAGGCGGCCGUUUAAGUCAGCGGUGAAAGUCUGUGGCUCAACCAUAGAAUUGCCGUUGAAACUGGGAGGCUUGAGUAUGUUUGAGGCAGGCGGAAUGCGUGGUGUAGCGGUGAAAUGCUUAGAUAGCACGCAGAACCCCGAUUGCGAAGGCAGCCUGCCAAGCCAUGACUGACGCUGAUGCACGAAAGCGUGGGGAUCAAACAGGAUUAGAUACCCCUGUAGUC